CCCCAUUUAAAAGCUGUCCAAACUGUAAGGAUUUUUUGGCCAUGUUGAGCCAAUGAUAUUCUGAAUCUUCCUUUAGAGUAGUCAAUGUAAAAUAAGAUAAAGGAAAAAAAAAGACAAAGAAGGACUCCCAAAAAACAGUCUCUAGGACGCUAAUUUAAAACAUCCAAAAUCAUCAGUCAUCUGAAAAUUUAGUUACUGGAACAUUGCAAGCUGGCUUAAUUUAGCACAAGUUACUGAGUUACAGCUGCUCUUAUCAUUUACAUUCACACAGACUAUAUAACAUUGUGCAUUGCUUGUAGUUAUGACUUUUGACUCCUUGUCCUUCUGGGCCGUAGGAAAUACAGGGACGUGAAGAAAGAAAGCUCAGUAAUUUAUUGCUCAAGAUAGAUAUCAUUUGGGUUUUGAUGCAGAUAUGCUUAUCAUGGUUGUGCUAGUUUGUGUUUCAUUCUAACAGAGAGCAAAUCUCAUUAUAAAGCCUGUUUCUCCAAAGGGAAAUACAGCUUGUACAGUUGUGUUCAUUGUUGAUAGCAUACAGAGGACACAGUAAUUGUGUUCCAAAACUACUGAUGAGGUCUGAGCUUGCCUCUUGUCACAAUGGCACAGAUAACAGCCAUGAGCAGUGAUAAGCAGUCAAACCAGGAGAGACCUAGGAGGUCAGAAAUCAAUUGCUUCCAGCUGAUCGAUUUAGGACUGACAGAUCCUGAUGGUUGGUAUAGCAGCUGUAAAAGGAGAUCAGGACUUCCUGGUAAAGAUGAUGUCUGUGGCAAGGCUUCUUGACUCUGUGAUUCCCAGAAAAUGCAGAGAAAAGACACCCCAGUGACUAUGACUCACACUUGGAAGCUACUGCAGGUCCCAGCUCAGAAGCUCUCCUCUCUUGUCUUGACUCAUCAGGAGAGUAAAACAACCUAUGAUCUCCAAACAAUGCUCAUUACAGCCAAACUGAAAAGAAGAAAAAAAAGAAAAUGAACCUCACUACUGUUUAUAACCAUGUUUUCACUGCAAUAGUUAGAAGUAUAUUUUCUCUGCCAUACUUUGUUGUUUUGUCUACUUCAAAGUCAUCUUCUACUCUGAGCUGGAUAGAGAUUCUAAUUUCUAAAGAGAAG
Molecule: long non-coding RNA, 1103 nt
Filed under: Zonotrichia albicollis (white-throated sparrow)
Lineage: Eukaryota; Metazoa; Chordata; Aves; Passeriformes; Passerellidae
Description: lncRNA (ENSZALG00000011605.1)
Source: RNAcentral